Notechis scutatus (mainland tiger snake) is the source of this 212-nucleotide non-coding RNA. NCBI's taxonomy places the organism in Eukaryota, Metazoa, Chordata, Lepidosauria, Squamata, Elapidae. The record is from RefSeq and is a predicted model, not a curated record.
UGUGUACUCUCUUUCCCUAUCAGGAGGGCCUUGUCUCCUUCGAGGAGGUGGCUGUGUAUUUCUCCAUGGAGGAAUGGUGUGAGCUGGAUCCUGACCAAAAAGCUCUGCAUUGGGAAGUCAUGCUGGAAAAUUACAGGAACGUGGCCUCUCUUGGUGAUAAUGAGCAGGACCAUAAAGAGCCAAGGGAAUCAUUCCGAGGGUUCAUACAUGGA